Molecule: ribosomal RNA, 465 nt
Filed under: uncultured bacterium
Lineage: Bacteria
Description: partial 16S ribosomal RNA
Rfam family: Bacterial small subunit ribosomal RNA
Source: RNAcentral
CUACGGGCGGCAGCAGUGGGGAAUAUUGGACAAUGGGGGAAACCCUGAUCCAGCAAUGCCGCGUGUGUGAAGAAGGCCUGCGGGUUGUAAAGCACUUUCGGUUGGGAGGACUGCUUCUAGCACUAAUAUUGUUGGAAGUUGACGUUACCUUCAGAAGAAGCACCGGCUAACUCCGUGCCAGCAGCCGCGGUAAUACGGGGGUGCAAGGCGUUAAUCGGAAUUACUGGGCGUAAAGCGCGCGUAGGCGGCUAGAUCAGUCGGGUGUGAAAGCCCCGGGCUUAACCUGGGAACUGCAUCCGAUACUGUCUAGCUUGAGUACAGGAGAGGAGAGUGGAAUUCCACAUGUAGCGGUGAAAUGCGUAGAUAUGUGGAGGAACACCAAUGGCGAAGGCAGCUCUCUGGCCUGAUACUGACGCUGAGGUGCGAAAGCGUGGGGAGCAAACAGGAUUAGAUACCCCAGUAGUC